This 299-nucleotide signal recognition particle RNA is filed under the name Aotus nancymaae (Ma's night monkey). Its description in RNAcentral is "Metazoan signal recognition particle RNA (ENSANAG00000004534.1)". It matches the Rfam family "Metazoan signal recognition particle RNA". Rfam says of the family: The signal recognition particle (SRP) is a universally conserved ribonucleoprotein. It is involved in the co-translational targeting of proteins to membranes. Lineage: Eukaryota; Metazoa; Chordata; Mammalia; Primates; Aotidae. The record is from RNAcentral.
GCCGGGCACGGUAGCACGUGCCUGUAGUCCCAGCUACUCGGCAGGCUGAGGUGGGAGGAUCACUUGAGCCCAGGAGUUCUGCGUUGUAGUGCGCUAUGCUGAUCGGGUGUCCCACUAAGUUCGGCAUCAAUAUGGUGACCUCCCGGGAGCAGGGGACCACCAGGCUGCCUAAGGAGGGGUGAACUGGCCGAGGUCAGACACGGAGCAGGUUAAAGCUCCUGUGCUGAUCAGUAGGGGGGAUCAUGCCUGUGAAUAGCCACUGCACUCCAGCCUGGGCAACAUAGCGUGACCCCAUCUCU